Molecule: ribosomal RNA, 490 nt
Filed under: uncultured bacterium
Lineage: Bacteria
Description: partial 16S ribosomal RNA
Rfam family: Bacterial small subunit ribosomal RNA
Source: RNAcentral
AUUGAACGCUGGCGGCAGGCCUAACACAUGCAAGUCGAACGGUAACAGGAAGAAGCUUUCUUCUUUGCUGACGAGUGGCGGACGGGUGAGUAAUGUCUGGGAAACUGCCUGAUGGAGGGGGAUAACUACUGGAGACGGUAGCUAAUACCGCAUAACGUCGCAAGACCAAAGAGGGGGACCUUCGGGCCUCUUGCCAUCUGAUGUGCCCAGAUGGGAUUAGCUAGUAGGUGGGGUAACGGCUCACCUAGGCGACGAUCCCUAGCUGGUCUGAGAGGAUGACCAGCCACACUGGAACUGAGACACGGUCCAGACUCCUACGGGAGGCAGCAGUGGGGAAUAUUGCACAAUGGGCGCAAGCCUGAUGCAGCCAUGCCGCGUGUAUGAAGAAGGCCUUCGGGUUGUAAAGUACUUUCAGCGGGGAGGAAGGGAGUAAAGUUAAUACCUUUACUCAUUGACGUUACCCGCAGAAGAAGCACCGGCUAACUCCGUG